GGUUAAGCGACUAAGCGUACACGGUGGAUGCCCUGGCAGUCAGAGGCGAUGAAGGACGUGCUAAUCUGCGAAAAGCGCCGGCGAGGUGAUAUGAACCCUUGACCCGGCGAUGUCCGAAUGGGGAAACCCAGUGCAAUCCGUUGCACUAUCGUUAACUGAAUACAUAGGUUAACGAGGCGAACCGGGGGAACUGAAACAUCUAAGUACCCCGAGGAAAAGAAAUCAACCGAGAUUCCCCCAGUAGCGGCGAGCGAACGGGGAGCAGCCCGGAGUCUGAAUCAGCUUGUGUGUUAGUGGAACGGUCUGGAAAGUCCGACGGUACAGGGUGAUAGUCCCGUACACGAAAGCACACUUGCUGUGAACUCGAAGAGUAGGGCGGGACACGUGGUAUCCUGUCUGAAUAUGGGGGGACCAUCCUCCAAGGCUAAAUACUCCUGACUGACCGAUAGUGAACCAGUACCGUGAGGGAAAGGCGAAAAGAACCCCGGCGAGGGGAGUGAAAAAGAACCUGAAACCGUGUACGUACAAGCAGUGGGAGCCUCUUUAUGGGGUGACUGCGUACCUUUUGUAUAAUGGGUCAGCGACUUAUAUUCUGUAGCAAGGUUAACCGUAUAGGGGAGCCGAAGGGAAACCGAGUCUUAACUGGGCGUUAAGUUGCAGGGUAUAGACCCGAAACCCGGUGAUCUAGCCAUGGGCAGGUUGAAGGUUGGGUAACACUAACUGGAGGACCGAACCGACUAAUGUUGAAAAAUUAGCGGAUGACCUGUGGCUGGGGGUGAAAGGCCAAUCAAACCGGGAGAUAGCUGGUUCUCCCCGAAAGCUAUUUAGGUAGCGCCUCGUGAACUCAUCUUCGGGGGUAGAGCACUGUUUCGGCUAGGGGGCCAUCCCGGCUUACCAACCCGAUGCAAACUACGAAUACCGAAGAAUGUUAUCACGGGAGACACACGGCGGGUGCUAACGUCCGUCGUGAAGAGGGAAACAACCCAGACCGCCAGCUAAGGUCCCAAAGUCAUGGUUAAGUGGGAAACGAUGUGGGAAGGCACAGACAGCCAGGAUGUUGGCUUAGAAGCAGCCAUCAUUUAAAGAAAGCGUAAUAGCUCACUGGUCGAGUCGGCCUGCGCGGAAGAUGUAACGGGGCUAAACCAUGCACCGAAGCUGCGGCAGCGACGCUUAUGCGUUGUUGGGUAGGGGAGCGUUCUGUAAGCCGUUGAAGGUGUGCUGUGAGGCAUGCUGGAGGUAUCAGAAGUGCGAAUGCUGACAUAAGUAACGAUAAAGCGGGUGAAAAGCCCGCUCGCCGGAAGACCAAGGGUUCCUGUCCAACGUUAAUCGGGGCAGGGUGAGUCGACCCCUAAGGCGAGGCCGAAAGGCGUAGUCGAUGGGAAACAGGUUAAUAUUCCUGUACUUGGUGUUACUGCGAAGGGGGGACGGAGAAGGCUAUGUCAGCCGGGCGACGGUUGUCCCGGUUUAAGCAUGUAGGCGGAGGUUCCAGGUAAAUCCGGUACCUUAUUAACGCUGAGGUGUGAUGACGAGGCACUACGGUGCUGAAGUGAUAAAUGCCCUGCUUCCAGGAAAAGCCUCUAAGCAUCAGGUAACACGAAAUCGUACCCCAAACCGACACAGGUGGUCAGGUAGAGAAUACCAAGGCGCUUGAGAGAACUCGGGUGAAGGAACUAGGCAAAAUGGUGCCGUAACUUCGGGAGAAGGCACGCUGAUGUGUAGGUGAAGCCCCUGCGGGCGGAGCUGAAAUCAGUCGAAGAUACCAGCUGGCUGCAACUGUUUAUUAAAAACACAGCACUGUGCAAACACGAAAGUGGACGUAUACGGUGUGACGCCUGCCCGGUGCCGGAAGGUUAAUUGAUGGGGUUAGCGGCAACGCGAAGCUCUUGAUCGAAGCCCCGGUAAACGGCGGCCGUAACUAUAACGGUCCUAAGGUAGCGAAAUUCCUUGUCGGGUAAGUUCCGACCUGCACGAAUGGCGUAAUGAUGGCCAGGCUGUCUCCACCCGAGACUCAGUGAAAUUGAACUCGCUGUGAAGAUGCAGUGUACCCGCGGCAAGACGGAAAGACCCCGUGAACCUUUACUAUAGCUUGACACUGAACACUGGUCCUUGAUGUGUAGGAUAGGUGGGAGGCUUUGAAGCGUGGACGCCAGUCUGCGUGGAGCCAACCUUGAAAUACCACCCUUUAAUGGCUGGUGUUCUAACGUAGACCCGUAAUCCGGGUUGCGGACAGUGUCUGGUGGGUAGUUUGACUGGGGCGGUCUCCUCCCAAAGAGUAACGGAGGAGCACGAAGGUUGGCUAAUCCUGGUCGGACAUCAGGAGGUUAGUGCAAUGGCAUAAGCCAGCUUGACUGCGAGCGUGACGGCGCGAGCAGGUGCGAAAGCAGGUCAUAGUGAUCCGGUGGUUCUGAAUGGAAGGGCCAUCGCUCAACGGAUAAAAGGUACUCCGGGGAUAACAGGCUGAUACCGCCCAAGAGUUCAUAUCGACGGCGGUGUUUGGCACCUCGAUGUCGGCUCAUCACAUCCUGGGGCUGAAGUAGGUCCCAAGGGUAUGGCUGUUCGCCAUUUAAAGUGGUACGCGAGCUGGGUUUAGAACGUCGUGAGACAGUUCGGUCCCUAUCUGCCGUGGGCGCUGGAGAAUUGAGGGGGGCUGCUCCUAGUACGAGAGGACCGGAGUGGACGCAUCACUGGUGUUCGGGUUGUCAUGCCAAUGGCACUGCCCGGUAGCUAAAUGCGGAAGAGAUAAGUGCUGAAAGCAUCUAAGCACGAAACUUGCCCCGAGAUGAGUUCUCCCUGAGACUUUAAGUCUCCUGAAGGAACGUUGAAGACGACGACGUUGAUAGGUCGGGUGUGUAAGCGCAGCGAUGCGUUGAGCUAACCGAUACUAAUGAACCGUG
Molecule: ribosomal RNA, 2894 nt
Filed under: Enterobacter hormaechei
Lineage: Bacteria; Pseudomonadati; Pseudomonadota; Gammaproteobacteria; Enterobacterales; Enterobacteriaceae
Description: partial 23S ribosomal RNA
Rfam family: Bacterial large subunit ribosomal RNA
Source: RNAcentral